RNAcentral lists this long non-coding RNA (239 nucleotides) under Actinidia chinensis (golden kiwifruit). Its description in RNAcentral is "long non-coding RNA (ACHI_LNC006249)". The record is from RNAcentral. Lineage: Eukaryota; Viridiplantae; Streptophyta; Magnoliopsida; Ericales; Actinidiaceae.
UCGAUCUCUGCAUCUUCUCUAAAGAUCCGUGAAGAUUGUUACCGAUCGCUAAGCGUCUCAUCUCGUAUUGUUCUUUCUUUGUCGGCUCUAUUAAUCUCCGGAAAGAUCGAAGAUCUCAUACGAAGAUCACAUACGAAGAGAGAUCAAGACAUUAGCCAAGAAAACCUAAUUGAAGGUGAAAUAUGAGAUUUGAAUUUACAGAAACUAGGGUUUCGGUCUGAGGCCGAAAAGGGGUUGUU